UUACGGCCAUAUCACAUUGAAACACCUCCUCUCGUGUCAUCACCGAAGUUAAGCUACGUAGAGUCUGUUCAGUACUUAGAUGAGUAACCGCUUGGGAAUAGUAGGUGCUGUAAG
Non-coding RNA from Acanthosepion pharaonis, 114 nucleotides. The record is from the annotation of a GenBank genome assembly. Lineage: Eukaryota; Metazoa; Mollusca; Cephalopoda; Sepiida; Sepiidae.